UCCAAUCAAUAUUUAACAAUUAGGUGCUUGUGUAAGUUCCAGAUGGGCUUUUGGUUUCGUCUGUCUGGGUCAGUGUCACCAUGGGCGAAACCCACCGGAUUUUAGGAUGUAUGAACAUAAUACUUAGCCAAUCCGGAUUGAACAUAUCCAAGUUACAUACAUAAAAGAAAUUAAGAAAACAUGGGUACAUGACAUAUAUCAGGUGCCCUAAUCAUCCGCUUCAAUGGAGCAAUAAUAUGUUGUUUGAUACAUACGGAAUUUUUAAUCGAGUAUCAGUGAAUACUAGCUAAAGAGAUUUUAUACCACGUAAUGGUCAUACAAAAAUAACAAUUAUAGAAUUGAAUAUUAGUUCAUAUAAUCUGACAAAAUAAGAACCUGAAUUUGGUUGAAAAUUAAAACAUAGAGUAUGUAAUAAUAUAAUCCUUGACAAAAGAGAUUGAAGUUGUGAAAGGGGGAACUGGUGAUCUUUUACUUGCCUCAAACCAUGAUCCAACUUUUUAUUCGAAGCAAUCGAAAGAAAAGAAAUAUCGAUUCGAUCAAACUCGAACCAGUUGUUAUAGGAUUACUCCAUAUCGCUGAUCAUUUUCUAUGAUUCUUAUUAAUCAUCUCCAAACAUAUAAUCAGUUGAUAUAUCUUCACUUCUUCUUCGACCUUUGAUCCUGACAAUGUGUAUAGUCAAUAAAAAUCGUAAUGAUUCCAAGCACACACACAUGAUCAUGUAUACAUGCACAUGUACGAAUCAUUUGAUAACAUGCUCAUGUAUUGUAUACAUAUGUACGAAUAAUUUGAUUGUAUAUUUGCGGUUUAAAACAUAUGUGCGAGUAUGAUAAAGAUUAGAGAGACAUACGAUGGAUGAUGAAGUGAUGAUGAGUCGCCUGAGAAGGCAUAAGGAUCAUUGCUCUCUGACUCUGUAUCUCUACUUUAAGUCUCUGCCCAAACCUUAUGCAUAUAUAUGGUGUGAUACAACUCUUAAUAAUGAGCAUAUGUUUCACCAACUUCUUUUUCAAUUAUAAGAAAGUAGAUGGAAAGCUAAAGAUGACUACUUAUAAUUUGGUAAUUUUCAUAUUAUAUAAUAAUAGGAGUAUUUAUAUAAUAUAUUAUUGCUUUUAAG
Molecule: long non-coding RNA, 1111 nt
Filed under: Arabidopsis thaliana (thale cress)
Lineage: Eukaryota; Viridiplantae; Streptophyta; Magnoliopsida; Brassicales; Brassicaceae
Description: long non-coding RNA (ATHA_LNC000566)
Source: RNAcentral